UACGUAGGGUGCAAGCGUUAAUCGGAAUUACUGGGCGUAAAGCGCGCGUAGGCGGCUUUGUAAGUUAGAGGUGAAAGCCCGGGGCUCAACUCCGGAACUGCCUUUAAGACUGCAUCGCUUGAAUCCGGGAGAGGUGAGUGGAAUUCCGAGUGUAGAGGUGAAAUUCGUAGAUAUUCGGAAGAACACCAGUGGCGAAGGCGGCUCACUGGACCGGUAUUGACGCUGAGGUGCGAAAGCGUGGGAGCAAACAGG
RNAcentral lists this ribosomal RNA (252 nucleotides) under uncultured bacterium. Its description in RNAcentral is "partial 16S ribosomal RNA". It matches the Rfam family "Bacterial small subunit ribosomal RNA", at positions 524 to 776 of the family's 1533-position model. The record is from RNAcentral.